CGGUGGAGCAUGUGGUUUAAUUCGAAGCAACGCGAAGAACUUACCAGGCCUUGACAUGCAGAGAACUUUCCAGAGAUGGAUUGGUGGCCUUCGGGAACUCUGACACAGGUGCUGCAUGGCUGUCGUCAGACUCGUGUCGUGAGAUGUUGGGUUAAGUCCGUAACGAGCGCAACCCUUGUCCUUAGUUACCAGCACGUUAUGGUGGGCACUCUAAGGAGACUGCCGGUGACAAACCGGAGGAAGGUGGGGAUGACGUCAAGUCAUCAUGGCCCUUACGGCCUGGGCUACACACGUGCUACAAUGGUCGGUACAAAGGGUUGCCAAGCCGCGAGGUGGAGCUAAUCCCAUAAAACCGAUCGUAGUCCGGAUCGCAGUCUGCAACUCGACUGCGUGAAGUCGGAAUCGCUAGUAAUCGUGAAUCAGAAUGUCACGGUGAAUACGUUCCCGGGCCUU
This 453-nucleotide ribosomal RNA is filed under the name uncultured Pseudomonas sp. RNAcentral's name for it is "bacterial SSU rRNA". It matches the Rfam family "Bacterial small subunit ribosomal RNA", at positions 930 to 1382 of the family's 1533-position model. Lineage: Bacteria; Pseudomonadati; Pseudomonadota; Gammaproteobacteria; Pseudomonadales; Pseudomonadaceae. The record is from RNAcentral.